UACGGAGGGUGCAAGCGUUAUCCGGAUUCACUGGGCUUAAAGGGUGCGUAGGCGGACAGGUAAGUCAGUGGUGAAAUCUCUGGGCUUAACUCAGAAACUGCCGUUGAUACUAUUUGUCUUGAAUAUUCUGGAGGUAAGCGGAAUAUGUCAUGUAGCGGUGAAAUGCUUAGAUAUGACAUAGAACACCGAUAGCGAAGGCAGCUUACUACAGAAUGAUUGACGCUGAGGCACGAAAGCGUGGGGAGCAAACAGG
This 253-nucleotide ribosomal RNA is filed under the name uncultured bacterium. Its description in RNAcentral is "partial 16S ribosomal RNA". It matches the Rfam family "Bacterial small subunit ribosomal RNA", at positions 524 to 776 of the family's 1533-position model. The record is from RNAcentral.